UCUUGGUCAUUUAGAGGAAGUAAAAGUCGUAACAAGGUUUUCGUAGGGAACCUGCGGAAAAGUCUCAUUA
Molecule: ribosomal RNA, 70 nt
Filed under: uncultured Thelephoraceae
Lineage: Eukaryota; Fungi; Basidiomycota; Agaricomycetes; Thelephorales; Thelephoraceae
Description: partial 18S ribosomal RNA
Source: RNAcentral